CAUAGAUGACCUUUCAGUGAACUGCAAGAACUUUUGACUGUACUUGGUUUACCAUCUGUAAUAAUAGUAAUAACAACAAUAACAGUAACCAUAAUAACCACCAACAAACCAAAGCAGAGAGUAUCAACCUCCCUUUUGCUGCCAUCCACUCUCUACAGACUGCUGCUCUGUCGGGUGCCCUACAAGUUCCCUGCAUCUCCAGUUUCAAGUAGUCUGAAAGAAUUUCUUGCAGGUUCUCUUAGAAUACUCCUUGGACUUGCUGAAAGAUGAUGGAAGUGAAAGCAAAACUAUUACAUUUGUGAGCAGUGCCAGGUGAGGAGCGGCAGGAAGAGCCCUGAAGAAUUCAGAAUAAUCUCAUCACGGUGAAGCAACGUCCCUCCUCAGUUUUGAAGGCCACAUGAUACAUGAACACUUGCUAACCACCCAAUACAGUGGGAAAUUAUGUUACAGUGACUAUCUUAUCUGUAG
This 468-nucleotide long non-coding RNA is filed under the name Cyanistes caeruleus (blue tit). Its description in RNAcentral is "lncRNA (ENSCCEG00000016552.1)". Lineage: Eukaryota; Metazoa; Chordata; Aves; Passeriformes; Paridae. The record is from RNAcentral.